CAGUAGCCGCGGUAAUACGGAGGGUGCAAGCGUUACUCGGAAUCACCGGGCGUAAAGGGCGCGUAGGCGGAUUAUCAAGUCUCUUGUGAAAUCUAACGGCUUAACCGUUAAACUGCUUGGGAAACUGAUAAUCUAGAGUAAGGGAGAGGCAGAUGGAAUUCUUGGUGUAGGGGUAAAAUCCGUAGAUAUCAAGGAGAAUACCUGUUGCGAAGGCGAUCUGCUGGAACUUAACUGACGCUAAUGCGUGAAAGCGUGGGGAGCGAACAGGAUUAGAUACCCCCGUAGUCCCUGUCUCUUAUAC
Molecule: ribosomal RNA, 301 nt
Filed under: uncultured bacterium
Lineage: Bacteria
Description: partial 16S ribosomal RNA
Rfam family: Bacterial small subunit ribosomal RNA
Source: RNAcentral